This 379-nucleotide ribosomal RNA is filed under the name uncultured bacterium. RNAcentral's name for it is "bacterial SSU rRNA". It matches the Rfam family "Bacterial small subunit ribosomal RNA", at positions 29 to 433 of the family's 1533-position model. The record is from RNAcentral.
AGCGAACGCUGGCGGCAGGCUUAACACAUGCAAGUCGAGCGGGCGUAGCAAUACGUCAGCGGCAGACGGGUGAGUAACGCGUGGGAACGUACCUUUUGGUUCGGAACAACACAGGGAAACUUGUGCUAAUACCGGAUAAGCCCUUACGGGGAAAGAUUUAUCGCCGAAAGAUCGGCCCGCGUCUGAUUAGCUAGUUGGUGAGGUAAUGGGCUCACCAAGGCGACGAUCAGUAGCUGGUCUGAGAGGAUGAUCAGCCACAUUGGGACUGAGACACGGCCCAAACUCCUACGGGAGGCAGCAGUGGGGAAUAUUGGACAAUGGCGCAAGCCUGAUCCAGCCAUGCCGCGUGAGUGAUGAAGGCCCUAGGGUUGUAAAGCUC